RNAcentral lists this ribosomal RNA (301 nucleotides) under uncultured bacterium. RNAcentral describes it as "partial 16S ribosomal RNA". It matches the Rfam family "Bacterial small subunit ribosomal RNA", at positions 509 to 807 of the family's 1533-position model. The record is from RNAcentral.
CAGUCGCCGCGGUAAUACGUAGGGUGCAAGCGUUAAUCGGAAUUACUGGGCGUAAAGCGUGCGCAGGCGGUUAUAUAAGUCAGAUGUGAAAUCCCCGGGCUCAACCUGGGAACUGCAUUUGAGACUGUAUGGCUAGAGUGUGUCAGAGGGGGGUAGAAUUCCACGUGUAGCAGUGAAAUGCGUAGAUACGCGGAGGAACACCGAUGGCGGAGGUAAUCCCCUGGACCUGUACUGACGCUCAUGCACGAAAGCGUGGGGAGCAAGCAGGAUUAGAUACCCGCGUAGUCCCUGUCUCUUAUAC